Molecule: ribosomal RNA, 1372 nt
Filed under: uncultured bacterium
Lineage: Bacteria
Description: bacterial SSU rRNA
Rfam family: Bacterial small subunit ribosomal RNA
Source: RNAcentral
GAUGAACGCUGGCGGCGUGCCUAAUACAUGCAAGUCGAGCGAACGGACGAGAAGCUUGCUUUUCUGAUGUUAGCGGCGGACGGGUGAGUAACACGUGGAUAACCUACCUAUAAGACUGGGAUAACUUCGGGAAACCGGAGCUAAUACCGGAUAAUAUUUUGAACCGCAUGGUUCAAAAGUGAAAGACGGUCUUGCUGUCACUUAUAGAUGGAUCCGCGCUGCAUUAGCUAGUUGGUAAGGUAACGGCUUACCAAGGCAACGAUGCAUAGCCGACCUGAGAGGGUGAUCGGCCACACUGGAACUGAGACACGGUCCAGACUCCUACGGGAGGCAGCAGUAGGGAAUCUUCCGCAAUGGGCGAAAGCCUGACGGAGCAACGCCGCGUGAGUGGUGAAGGUCUUCGGAUCGUAAAACUCUGUUAUUAGGGAAGAACAUAUGUGUAAGUAACUGUGCACAUCUUGACGGUACCUAAUCAGAAAGCCACGGCUAACUACGUGCCAGCAGCCGCGGUAAUACGUAGGUGGCAAGCGUUAUCCGGAAUUAUUGGGCGUAAAGCGCGCGUAGGCGGUUUUUUAAGUCUGAUGUGAAAGCCCACGGCUCAACCGUGGAGGGUCAUUGGAAACUGGAAAACUUGAGUGCAGAAGAGGAAAGUGGAAUUCCAUGUGUAGCGGUGAAAUGCGCAGAGAUAUGGAGGAACACCAGUGGCGAAGGCGACUUUCUGGUCUGUAACUGACGCUGAUGUGCGAAAGCGUGGGGAUCAAACAGGAUUAGAUACCCUGGUAGUCCACGCCGUAAACGAUGAGUGCUAAGUGUUAGGGGGUUUCCGCCCCUUAGUGCUGCAGCUAACGCAUUAAGCACUCCGCCUGGGGAGUACGACCGCAAGGUUGAAACUCAAAGGAAUUGACGGGGACCCGCACAAGCGGUGGAGCAUGUGGUUUAAUUCGAAGCAACGCGAAGAACCUUACCAAAUCUUGACAUCCUUUGACAACUCUAGAGAUAGAGCCUUCCCCUUCGGGGGACAAAGUGACAGGUGGUGCAUGGUUGUCGUCAGCUCGUGUCGUGAGAUGUUGGGUUAAGUCCCGCAACGAGCGCAACCCUUAAGCUUAGUUGCCAUCAUUAAGUUGGGCACUCUAAGUUGACUGCCGGUGACAAACCGGAGGAAGGUGGGGAUGACGUCAAAUCAUCAUGCCCCUUAUGAUUUGGGCUACACACGUGCUACAAUGGACAAUACAAAGGGCAGCGAAACCGCGAGGUCAAGCAAAUCCCAUAAAGUUGUUCUCAGUUCGGAUUGUAGUCUGCAACUCGACUACAUGAAGCUGGAAUCGCUAGUAAUCGUAGAUCAGCAUGCUACGGUGAAUACGUUCCCGGGUCU